UGCGUAGGCGGUUUUGUAAGUUUGGUGUGAAAUCUCCCGGCUCAACUGGGAGGGUGCGCCGAAAACUGCAAGGCUGGAGUGUGGGAGAGGUAGGCGGAAUUCCUGGUGUAGCGGUGAAAUGCGUAGAUAUCAGGAGGAACACCUGUGGUGUAGACGGCUUACUGGACCAUAACUGACGCUGAGGCACGAAAGCGUGGGAAGCAAACA
Molecule: ribosomal RNA, 207 nt
Filed under: uncultured bacterium
Lineage: Bacteria
Description: partial 16S ribosomal RNA
Rfam family: Bacterial small subunit ribosomal RNA
Source: RNAcentral